This 5322-nucleotide long non-coding RNA is filed under the name Prunus dulcis (almond). Its description in RNAcentral is "sRNA ncRNA". Lineage: Eukaryota; Viridiplantae; Streptophyta; Magnoliopsida; Rosales; Rosaceae. The record is from RNAcentral.
CUUCAGAGGCAUCUGGUUUGAUUUCAACUAGCUGGUUCGACAGCUUCAAGGGUAAAGAUGGGAGAGCUGGGUUGGUUCUUCGAUGUCUACAUCUGGAGGCUUUGACUUUUUUACAGAGCCAUCUGCCCAGACCAUCAGUUUUGGUUUUCAUUGUUCACCGACUCCUUGCCUUCUUCAUUUUCGAUUUGAAGAUCAAUCUCCAUCUAAACUCAUCUCCGUCUGCUACUCGCCUGGCCUUAGCCUCUGAUCUUUCAUCCGUGUUUUCUUAAUCCCCUGCUUCUGUGGUUAGUUCUUUUAUCUUAACCUCUAUUGAAUUUGAUUUUCAUUCAUUGUCUUUUUCCUUUUUUAUUAUUGGGGGUUUUGUCAAUCUAUGAGUUAAUAAUCAUGUUAUUUGGGUUUAUCAAUUAUAUUGUUUGAUAAUUUUUAUUUUUAUUUUUAAAAAAAAGAGCUUUCUAACCCUAAACCCUCUAAUAUCUGAGUAUGUUGUUGAAUCUUUUGGGUGUUUUGCCGAGGUUAAUUUUAGGGUAGAGCAAUAAAUUGAAACAUCUGAGCAUGUUGUUGAAUGUUUUGAAUGUUUUGAGUUAUUGAGCUUUGUUAAUUGUUGUUAGAAUAUAGAUUCGAACCCCUGUGUUUUUGUGAAUACAGGCAAAUAUAAAAUAAGUUUAAUGACGUUGAUGACUGAUGGAGAGAGAAACAUAGAGGAGAAUAGUAUCUGUAUAGAGUUCUUUUUUCCAUUGAAAUUAUGAUUUGGAUAUGUGGUAGGAUUGAUUUUUGAUUCAAUUGAUGAACUGAGUAUGUGUUAUAUUAAAAUUUUCACUAUGGUUAUGAACCAAACAUCUUCAAGCUUUAGUAAUUUUUUUUAAAGAAAAUUUAUGAACUUCACAUGUUAUUUUUUUUUGUUAACCAAACUUUUGUAAUGUGCAUUGUCUUUAAUUCUUAUAUACUAUCAUGGCUGAAUGUUGAGAAUAGUAUCUGUAUAGAGUUCUUUUUUUCAUUGAAAUUAUGAUUUGGAUAUGUGGUAGGAUUGUUUUUUUUUUAUUGAAUUGAUGAAAUGAGUAUGUGUUAUAUUAAAAUUUUCACUAUGGUUAUGAACCAGACAUCUUCAAGCUUUAGUAAUUUUUUUAAAAGAAAAUUUAUGAACUUCGCAUGUUAUUUUUUUUUUUGUUAACCAAACUUCUGUAAUGUGCACUGUCUUUAAUUCUUAUAUACUAUCAUGGCUGAAUGUUAAAUGAUUUACUCUGUUUCAUACAUUGGGAUUGCCAGUUUUAUCAUAUAGUUGUGACAUGUCAAAUGUAAGUUUAUCAGUUUCUAAUUUCUAAAGGCAGAAGUUAUGUUGCAUGGUAAAUUUGUAGUUCAACUAUUUCAUUUCUGUUUUUGAGAUUUUGGAAGUCAUUGUUUAGACUGUUGUUUAUGAAAAGUUUGAUAAUUUGCAGCAUUAGUGAUUACAGACAAUUAAAGCACCGUGAUUAUCAUUUAUAGUUUUGUCUUUGGUUUUUCCUUUUGUAUUUUGUAAAAAUUUAUUUUAGUUAGAAAUCUUGAUUUCCAUUUUAAAAGUUUUGUUAUAGAAAAUACAAAAUCAAAAACCCAUUUGAGCCUUUCCAGAUGCCGCCAUUCUUGGUGUGCCCAAAUGGUAUACUCUUGAACUUAUUGGAAUGGUUGUGGUCAGGGCAUGCAUUCUUCUGUUGGAUCGGUUCACUGUGGACCUGAUUUUGUAGAGGGCAAAAUGUGUACUGUUGACUAUUAAAUAAUGAGUCUAAUUUGAGUUAUUUAAUGAGUGGAGUCCAAUGUUUUCUUGAUUCAUUAAUAAAAGCCAAAAUAAGAAGCAAAGAUAUUUAAUGAGUGGAGUCAAAUGUUCUUAACGUUGAUUGGAUUUUGCUAAAAUAUGAAAAUUAUGAGAGAAUAUUUGUUUGUGGGAAUUUUUUGUGUAUUCUUCUCCUUGUAGGAGGUCAUAUUUAUAAUACAACGAAACAUGAAUGAGCAAGUAAAUAAUAAAUUUCUAAAUCUAUUUGCAGUAGGAAAUCAGGAAUUAAAGUAAAUCAAUUACAAUUAUAAUAGGAAUUCUUGGUGUGUAAGGAAAGUAAGUCAAUAUCCACAAGUCACGCCAACACUCCCCCUCACGUUGGUGCAUAGAUGUCGCCAAUGCCCAACUGAUCUAGUGAAUUGUGGAAUGCUUUAUUGGAAAUCGUCUUUGUCAAAAUAUCCGCCAAUUGAUCCUCGGAUUUCACAAAAUGCGCAAUCUGGUUAAUGUGUCGGGGUCGUUAGUCGAGAAGUCAUAAUCUGUGCAGCAGAAGAUGCAUAGGAUACAGGUUGAGUAAGAAUUGGGAUCGGAAUCUGAGCCUGAGUCGAGGCCGGAGUCGGAGUCGAAAUCAGGAUCAGGGUCUGAAUCAUAGACAAAUUCGGGGUCGGGGUCGUCUUCGGAUCGGGGUGGGGGUCGUCUUCGGAGUCGGGGUCGGGGUCGGAGUCGUCUUCGGAGUCGGGGUCGGGGUCGGGGUCGUGGUCGUCUUCGAAGUCGAGGUCGGGGUCGUCUUUGGAGUCGGGGUCGGGUUCGGGGUCAAAGUCUGCAUCUGUAGGAGCGGAGCCAUCUGGGCACUCAACUCAACGAUGGUUGGUGGAGAAUGAGAGAAUGAGUCGGUGGUGCUACCUCCAUGAGGGUUGAAAAAAUCAUCAACCCCCAUAACACUAAAUAAAAUAAUAUCUAUUACAAUAGGACAAAAUAUAAUUGGUAAGUAACCAAAAUUCUUAUGAAAUAAGGACUCGCCAACACUCCCCCUCAAGUUGGGCAAAGAUAUUUCGCAGGCCCAACUUGACAAGCGAGUCACAGGACACCAUACUUGAGAAGCACCAAUUGUAUAGAAGAUCUUUUAAUCAACCACGAGUGAAACCAGUGACAAACUAAAACAAAGUUCACAGCGGAAACACAAGAGCAAACCCUAAAAAAUAGGGCACAUAGCAAAACACAGAAACCCUGUGAGCACGGCUGUAGAUAAGACAGAACACAGAAACCCUGUGAGCACGGCAGUAGAGACAAUGGCAACAAUAAAUUCUUCCAUAUAAACUUUAGCUAAUUCACUCAGACACAACUUCUCUUCAAUCCUCCUCUCCCCUUGAAAAGAAGGGGUCGUCGGAGUCAAGAAAUAAGCAACAUCUUCAUGGAAAUAUGUCAAGGUAAUUGGGAUAGGUCAAUAAACAUAUCCCUUUCACUCCCCCUCCCCCCCUCUCAAGGGGGGAGAAGAGCACUUAAAUUUCAAGAAGAACACAAGCACAGGUCCCUAGAUCGAACUAGGCUCUGAUACCAUGCUAAAAUAUGAAAACUAUGAGAGAAUAUUUGUUUGUGGGAAUUUUCUAUGUAUUCUUCUCCUUGUAGGAGGUCAUAUUUAUAAUACAACGAAACCUGAAUGAGCAAGUAAAUAAUAAAUUUCUAAAUCUAUUUGCAGUAGGAAAUUAGGAAUUAAAGUAAAUCAAUUACAAUUGUAAUAGGAAUUCUUGGUGUGUAAGGAAAGUAAGUCAAUAUCCACAAGUCACGCCAACAGAUUUUACCAAGAUUCUCAUAAUAUUCAAAUAGGGAUUGAUUUGAGAUUGGGAGUCUUGCACUCUAGGUGGUCCAAACCGCCAAGGAGAUUGGUUCCUAUGAAGUUAGGUCAAAGGCCAGUACAUGAAUAAGGUUCAAAGUCAAUGCUCUAUAUAGUUGUUUACACAUGGAAUUAAGUUAAUUGCUUGAUAGAAUAAUAGAUAUUUGUGAUUAUGAAGUUAUUUACACAAAACUAAAUUCAUGUUGGUGUUAAAAAUAUGAGUAGCAUUUCAGAUAGUGAUGAAAAUUUUGUUAUCUCUUUAGUCUUCUCAUCCUGUGAUAACCUAUACUUCUCUUUAAUCUUCUCUUUAGUCUUCUCUUUAGUCUUAGUUGCACUAAAUUCAUGUUGGUAUUAAUAAUAGCUAGAAAUUCCUAGCAUUGUUGUAAACAAUCAGUUUAAGUGGAGGAUUAUUGUAUGAAAUUUGGUAAACAAAUAUCUAGAAAUUAGCUUCAUAGUUUCUUAGGUUCCAUUUAAUUUGGUAUUUAUUUUUGUGUGAUAUAUUUCUCUUAGGGCAUGUCAAAUGAUAAAGCUGCAAGUAAGCCAUCUAUUCCAUGACAUAAUGCAAUAGACUUAUUCCAAAACACGAGUCUAUUGUUUUGAUUAAGUGUUUUAGUGUUCAUAUUGAAGUCAUUUUUAAACUAUAUAUCCCUAUUUGAUGAUAAUUCCUAAUAUUUUUAAUUAGUUGAAAUUUUUAUGAUGAGUUAUUGGAUGAAUGUUGAUGAUUUUGUUUGUGGAUAAUGAUUUAUUGGAUUGGAUUAAUAUUGAUGAUUUUGUGUGUGGAUAAUGAUUUGUUGGAUUAGGUGACUAUAUAUGAUUAUUUGAUUUGUUAGAAUUUAGGAUUUAUGAUUUGUUGAUUAAAUUUUGUGAUGGACUUCUUUUCCUCUCUUUGUUUGUGCAUUUGUCUUAAGGCCAAUUUGGCAUUGCUGUGCUGUGAAAAUAAUCGCUGUCAGAUUUGCUGUGAGAGAAAUCAACUGUGAGAGAAAGUGGUUUGGGGUUUGGUAAAAUUUUUAUCAAAAGUGUUGUUGGUAUUGAUUUUACGUGUAAUUAGAAAAUGAUUGCCGCAUAAUCAUUAAACCCAACGCCUCUUCAAAACUGAUUCCUGCAUAAUCAGAAAAUGAAAGCACCUCAUUAGCUGCUUUCCCUUAUAGCUUUCUCUCACAGCAAUUUUUAAUAAUAAAUGAUUUCUUACAAUUUACCAAACGGGUUGGGCUUCUCAAAAUUUUUAAAAAAUCACUUAUCACCCCAAAUAAGUAAUGCCAAACUGCACUUAAUUAAAUUUGUUUCUAAAAAAAAUGAUUUGUUGAUUAAUUGAUAUGAUUGUUUGGUUUGAUUGAUUCAUGUGUAUGAUAGAAAAGGUUAGGAGCUGCAUUUGGAGCCUAAUUUAUUUAGCUUGCGAGCUUGAUUUACUUCCCCAGGUUUUCAUUCUCUUCCCUCUCCAUCUCUGAUUUUAAUCUAUUGGUUUGGAAAAGCUCAUAUUCAAGUAAUUUUUAAACUCUAAAUCCCUAAUUGAUAAUAAUGCAAUAUUUUUAGUUAGUUGAAAUUUUUAUAAUGAGUUAUUAGACGAAUGUUGAAGCCUACAAGUUUUCGACAUGGUUAAAGCCUACAAGUUUUGAGUCUAAGGCAAGAAGGAGAAGAAGGAAAAGAUGGAGAGAAGAAAGAUGAAGGAGGAGAUGAUGGUUAAACUGAUGAUGAAAAAGACAGGUGAAAAGGGAAUAGGAAGAGAGCAUGUGUUUUGUAGAAAUGAAUAGUGAGC